RNAcentral lists this ribosomal RNA (774 nucleotides) under uncultured Neocallimastigales. RNAcentral describes it as "partial large subunit ribosomal RNA". It matches the Rfam family "Eukaryotic large subunit ribosomal RNA", at positions 22 to 639 of the family's 3401-position model. Lineage: Eukaryota; Fungi; Neocallimastigomycota; Neocallimastigomycetes; Neocallimastigales. The record is from RNAcentral.
GUACACGCUGUGACUAGUAUAUCAAUAAGCGGAGGAAAAGAAACUAACAAGGAUUCCCCUAGUAACGGCGAGUGAAGCGGGAAGAGCUCAAAUUUGAAAUCUUAAAGGGUUUCCCUUUACGAAUUGUAGUUUAAAGAAGUGUUUUCUGUUGAGGUUUUGGUAAAAGUUCUUUGGAAUAGGACAUCAUAGAGGGUGAGAAUCCCGUAUUUGACCUUUACUUUCAACUUUGUGAUACACUUUCAAAGAGUCGGAUUGUUUGGGAAUGCAGUCCAAAAUGGGUGGUAAAUUUCAUCUAAAGCUAAAUAUUGGCGAGAGACCGAUAGCGAACAAGUACCGUGAGGGAAAGAUGAAAAGAACUUUGAAAAGAGAGUUAAACAGUACGUGAAAUUGUCAAAAGGGAAGCGUUUGACACCAGUGUUGUUUUUCUGAAAUUCAAUUAAAGGACUGUUUAUGCUAAGCUGUUUAGACUUUAUCAGCUAUCUGUUUAGUUUUGAGCUUUUCUUUAAUGCACUUUUCAGUUAACAAGUCAACAUCAAUUUCUUUUGCUGUAAAAAAGCUUGAGGAAGGUGGCUUGAGAUUCGUCUUAAGUGUUUAUAGCCUCUUGCCUAUGCAGUCGGAGAGAUUGAGGUCUGCAGCGUAGAUCCUUCGGGGCUAAAUGCAUUUGUGCUAAGUUAUAGCAUUUUAUAGACAACUUGUUGACUAUGAUUUGUCUUGUAGCUUACUCGCUUAUGUUAUUUUACCUACGCUUAGGAUGUUGACGCGCGUGUGUGCGUG